UUAAGGUCUCUAAAGGGUUGUUGAAGACUACAACGUUGAUAGGUCAGGUGUGUAAGUGCUGCGAGGCAUUGAGCUAACUGAUACUAAUUGCCCGUGAGGCUUAACCAUACAACACCCAAGGGGUUU
RNAcentral lists this ribosomal RNA (126 nucleotides) under Photobacterium phosphoreum. Its description in RNAcentral is "partial 23S ribosomal RNA". The stretch from base 1 to 108 matches the Rfam family "Bacterial large subunit ribosomal RNA", at positions 2820 to 2925 of the family's 2925-position model. Lineage: Bacteria; Pseudomonadati; Pseudomonadota; Gammaproteobacteria; Vibrionales; Vibrionaceae. RNAcentral also lists the same sequence under 1 other name. The record is from RNAcentral.